Molecule: non-coding RNA, 148 nt
Filed under: Gorilla gorilla gorilla (western lowland gorilla)
Lineage: Eukaryota; Metazoa; Chordata; Mammalia; Primates; Hominidae
Source: Rfam by way of RNAcentral
GCCGGGCAUGGUGGCGCAUGCCUGUGGUUCCAGCUACUUGGAAGGCUGAGGCAGGAGAAUCGCUUGAUCCCAGGAGGUGGAGAUUGCAGUGAGCUGAGAUCAUGCCACUGCACUCCUGCCUGGGUGAAAGAGCAAGACCCUGUCUCAA